RNAcentral lists this ribosomal RNA (450 nucleotides) under uncultured bacterium. RNAcentral describes it as "partial 16S ribosomal RNA". It matches the Rfam family "Bacterial small subunit ribosomal RNA", at positions 354 to 796 of the family's 1533-position model. The record is from RNAcentral.
GUGGGGAAUCUUCCGCAAUGGACGAAAGUCUGACGGAGCAACGCCGCGUGAGUGAAGAAGGUUUUCGGAUCGUAAAGCUCUUUCGUUAGGGACGAACGUGCUCUUUGUGAAUAAUGAGGAGUAAUGACGGUACCUAAAUAAGAAGCCACGGCUAACUACGUGCCAGCAGCCGCGGUAAUACGUAGGUGGCAAGCGUUGUCCGGAAUUAUUGGGAGUAAAGCGCGCGCAGGCGGGAUAUCAAGUCUGUCUUAAAAGUGCGAGGCUCAACCUCGUGAGGGGACAGAAACUGGUAUUCUUGAGUGUCGGAGAGGAAAGUGGAAUUCCAAGUGUAGCGGUGAAAUGCGUAGAGAUUUGGAAGAACACCAGUGGCGAAGGCGACUUUCUGGACGAUGUCUGACGCUGAGGCGCGAAAGCUAGGGGAGCGAACGGGAUUAGAAACCCCGGUAGUCC